RNAcentral lists this ribosomal RNA (1201 nucleotides) under Fulguropsis spirata. RNAcentral's name for it is "Busycotypus spiratus partial 16S ribosomal RNA". The stretch from base 691 to 855 matches the Rfam family "Archaeal large subunit ribosomal RNA", at positions 1886 to 2093 of the family's 2987-position model. Lineage: Eukaryota; Metazoa; Mollusca; Gastropoda; Neogastropoda; Buccinidae. The record is from RNAcentral.
GUAGAGUAUUAUAGUNUAAAUAUAUUUUAUUUUAGCCUUAGAGAUGUUAAAACAUUUUAAAAUUUAGUAAAGGGGAUUAAAGAUUGUUUUAUUAUACCUAAGAAAAGUACUGUAAAGGAAUAUAAAGUAAAUUGAAUAAAAGAAAAAAUUGAAAUUUAUACCUUUCGCAUCAUGGUUUAACUAGAUAGUUGUUUAGUAUUUAAAUGUCUCGAAAUCUAAUGAGCUAUUUUUAUUCAAUAUAUUAGAAAAUAAGGAUUAAUUGUAGCAUAAAUUUUCUCAGAAAUAAAAAUAGAAAUGAAAUUUUAUCCGUAUUAGAUGAUAGCUAGUUCUUCUUAAAAGACAUAUAAGUGUUUUAAAUUAAUUCUAUUUUUAUAAUAAUAGCAUAAAAUAAGUUUUAAUUUAUUUAAAUUUUUGAGGAUAAGCUCGAAAAUUAUAAUUUAUAUUUGCAUGUCAUUUUAAUUAAAAUUUAGGCUUGAAAAUAGCCAUAAUUCUUGAUUUUGUACAAUUUCAUUAAUUAUAUUAAAAAAUAAUUAAUUUGCUUAUACAUAAAAGAAGUAAACUUAAAAACUAAAAUAAGUUGAAUAUAUGUUAAAAUGAGUAUUAAUUAAUUUAUAAGACUUUAAUAUUAUAUAAUUUAAAACUUACAUUUUUAUAAUAAUUUUAAAUCAUAGAAAGGAACUCGGCAAAUAUAUAUUCUGCCUGUUUAGCAAAAACAUGGCUCCUUGUGGAUAAAUGGAUAAGGAGUCGGACCUGCCCAGUGAAUUUUUCAACGGCCGCGGUACUCUGACCGUGCAAAGGUAGCAUAAUCAUUUGCCUUAUAAUUGAAGGCUAGUAUGAAUGGUUUGACAAGAAUAUAACUGUCUCUCUAUGAUUAAACAGAAUUUUAUUUAUAGGUGAAGAAGCCUGUAUUUAAUUAAAAGACAAGAAGACCCUAUCGAGCUUAAAAGAAAUUAUAGGGCUCAAAAAUUAAUAGAAAUUAGAAAGUUAACCAUAAAAAAUUUUAGUUGGGGUGACUAAGGAACAAGCAAAGCUUCCUUUUAUACUUAAAACCUUACGAGUAUUGAUCCAAAAUAUUUUGAUUAAAGAAAUUAGUUACCGUAGGGAUAACAGCAUUAUCUUUUUUAAGAGUCCCAAUCGAAAAAAAGGUUUGUGACCUCGAUGUUGGACCAGAAUUUCCUAAAGAUGCAGCAGUCUUUAAGGG